GUGUCCCAGUCAUAUUUAUUAUACUGAGUUGUCAUGAAGAGUUUUGUCUGAUAUUGAUUUCCAUAACUUAUCACCAGGGUUCUAUUGCUCAGCUUCCAUCUCCAGAAACAUCCCCAGUCAACAAUGUCCCAUGUCAGAGCAACCUUAUCCACCUGUAAAUGCUGCAGCCAGCCCAGAAGAAUGCCAGUUACUUCUUUUCUGCUAUAUUGACGUCAGUUUUUUAGAGAUUCAGCGGACCUGGAGCGUGGCCUUCAUGCAGGGUAGGUGACCCCCAGAUUGGGGCUUAGCUCAGGAAAAGUUUUUGGCUUCACAUAGGGAAGAAUUCAACAGUGAGCAGGUAGUGUAAGAAAACAAAUUGAUUGAAGUGGCAGUGUUACAGCUCCAGCUACAGUGUUACAGCUCUGGCUACAGCUCUGUUACUGCUCCUGAAGGACUACCCAAGAGGCAGUGGGCUGAGAGUAGCAGCUCAGAGGCAAUUCUGGAGUCAUAUUUUUACCCACUUUUAAUUACAGAAAAUCUCUUGAGCAGGGGUUGGCUUCUCUUCAAAUAUUCCGUGAGAAGAAUAUGCUAAUACUGUUUUGACCCAUAAUGUAGAAUCAGUGGAAACCCUGAGCUUGUUUGCCUUCAAUUAGACGAUCCUACCUGGUUUCCUGCCAAAGAUGAAGAUGAAACAUUUCCAUGAGUAGGCAAUUCAGUCUGAGUGUGUCUCAUGUUAUUUUCAGAUGAGGAGACUCCAUGUGCAUGGUUGCAGCAGGCAUUCUUGGGAGCUCAUGAGCUGAAUUUCAGGAAAAGCCCAAGAAGAUUCCACAUUUCCCUCAGGAUAUCCUCAGGAAAAUGUCUGCAGGCCUGGAAACACUUAGCCAUCCCUGUGUGCUUCCUCUGGGUCCCGGGGAUGGCAAGUGGGAGCUGUACCUUAAUGACCACAGUCCUUUGACUGAUCCUUUGACUGAUCUCUUCAGCUGGCCAAUGUCCAUUUGCUUCCUUUGGAGGCCUAUCAUGCAUCUAUAUUGCAGAUUGUACGAUCCACUGGACCCAGCAACAGAUAAGUGAAGGGUUAGACACCCAGAGAUAGUCUCUUAGCUCAGGAUGCCCAACAAAAUGUGAUAGCCUGGGGAGCUUAGACCACAGACGUUUAUUGCUCACAGUUCUGAAGGUUGGAGGUCCAAGAUCAAAGCAUGGUAGAUUCAGCGUCUGGUGAGGACUUGGUUCUUGGUUCGUAGUCAGUGCCUCCUUGCUGGGUCCUCACAUGGUGAACAGCAUGGGAUGGCCAGAGAGAGGGAGGGAAGGAGGGAGGAGGGGAGAGAGAGAGAGAGAAAG
This 1317-nucleotide long non-coding RNA is filed under the name Homo sapiens (human). RNAcentral describes it as "HSALNT0287997". Lineage: Eukaryota; Metazoa; Chordata; Mammalia; Primates; Hominidae. The record is from RNAcentral.